Molecule: ribosomal RNA, 404 nt
Filed under: uncultured bacterium
Lineage: Bacteria
Description: partial 16S ribosomal RNA
Rfam family: Bacterial small subunit ribosomal RNA
Source: RNAcentral
GACGAACGCUGGCGGCGUGCCUAAUACAUGCAAGUCGAACGCAGUGGGGACGGGUGAGUAACACGUGGGUAACCUCCCCCUCAGAGGGGAUAACACUUGGAAACCGGUGCUAAACCGAUACUGCUGGAUGGACCCGCGGUGCAUUCGCUGGUUGGUGGGGUAACGGCUCACCAAGGCCACGAUGCAUAGGCGGCCUGAGGUGAUGGUGGGCCAGACGUGGACUGAGACGAGGCCCAGACUCCUACGGGAGGAACGGGUAGGGAAUCUUCGGGAGUGGGCGAAAGUCGAACCGGGCAAAGCCGCGUAAGAGAGGAAGGUUUUCGGAUCGUAAAGCUCUGUUGUUAGAGGAGCGGUAUCUAACCAGAAAGCAACGGCUAACUACGUGCCAGCAGCCGCGGUAAUUC